RNAcentral lists this ribosomal RNA (454 nucleotides) under uncultured bacterium. RNAcentral's name for it is "bacterial SSU rRNA". It matches the Rfam family "Bacterial small subunit ribosomal RNA", at positions 791 to 1241 of the family's 1533-position model. The record is from RNAcentral.
UAGUCCACGCUGUAAACGAUGGAUACUAGCUGUUGGUUUCAUUUCGGUGGAAUCAGUGGCCAAGCAAAAGUGAUAAGUAUCCCACCUGGGGAGUACGUUCGCAAGAAUGAAACUCAAAGGAAUUGACGGGGGGCCCGCACAAGCGGUGGAGCAUGUGGUUUAAUUCGAUGAUACGCGAGGAACCUUACCAGGGCUUAAAUGUAGGAUGCAUUAGACAGAGAUGUUUAUUUCUUCGGACUUCUUACAAGGUGCUGCAUGGUUGUCGUCAGCUCGUGCCGUGAGGUGUCAGGUUAAGUCCUAUAACGAGCGCAACCCCUAUCGUUAGUUGCUAGCAGGUCAAGCUGAGGACUCUAGCGAGACUGCCGGUGCAAACCGUGAGGAAGGUGGGGGAUGACGUCAAAUCAUCACGGCCCUUAUGUCCUGGGGCUACACACGUGCUACAAUGGUAGGUACA